RNAcentral lists this ribosomal RNA (497 nucleotides) under uncultured bacterium. RNAcentral describes it as "partial 16S ribosomal RNA". It matches the Rfam family "Bacterial small subunit ribosomal RNA", at positions 28 to 507 of the family's 1533-position model. The record is from RNAcentral.
GACGAACGCUGGCGGCGUGCCUAAUACAUGCAAGUAGAACGCUGAAGAGAGGAGCUUGCUCUGCUUGGAUGAGGCGCGAACGGGUGAGUAACGCGUAGGUAACCUGCCUUGUAGCGGGGGAUAACUAUUGGAAACGAUAGCUAAUACCGCAUAACAAUGGAUGACACAUGGCAUUUAUUUGAAAGGGGCAAUUGCGCCACUACAAGAUGGACCUGCGUUGUAUUAGCUAGUAGGUGAGGUAAUGGCUCACCUAGGCGACGAUACAUAGCCGACCUGAGAGGGCGGUCCGCCACCCUGGGACGGGGACCCGGCCCAGACUCCUUCGGGAGGCAGCAGUAGUGCAUCUUCGGCAAUGGGGGCAACCCUGACCGAGCAACGCCGCGUGAGUGUAGAAGGUUUUCGGGUCGUAAAGCUCUGUUGUCGGUCAAGAACGGGUGUGAGAGUGGAAAGUUCACACUGUGACGGUAGCUGAUCAGAAAGGGACGGCUAACUACGUG